GAUGAACGCUGGCGGCGUGCCUAAUACAUGCAAGUCGAGCGAAUGGAUUAAGAGCUUGCUCUUAUGAAGUUAGCGGCGGACGGGUGAGUAACACGUGGGUAACCUGCCCAUAAGACUGGGAUAACUCAGGGAAACCGGGGCUAAGACCGGAUAAUAUUUUGAACUGCAUGGUUCAAAAUUGAAAGGCGGCUUCGGCUGUCACUUAUGGAUGGACUCGGGGCCUAUCAGCUAGUUGGUGAGGUAGCGGCUCACCACGGCGACGACGGGUAGCCGGCCUGGGAGGGUGGCCGGCCACACUGGGACUGAGACACGGCCCAGACUCCUACGGGAGGCAGCAGUAGGGAAUCUUCCGCAAUGGACGAAAGUCUGACGGAGCAACGCCGCGUGAGUGAUGAAGGCUUUCGGGUCGUAAAACUCUGUUGUUAGGGAAGAACAAGUGCUAGUUGAAUAAGCUGACACCUUGACGGUACCUAACCAGAAAGCCACGGCUAACUACGUGCCAGCCGCCGCGGUAA
Molecule: ribosomal RNA, 515 nt
Filed under: uncultured bacterium
Lineage: Bacteria
Description: partial 16S ribosomal RNA
Rfam family: Bacterial small subunit ribosomal RNA
Source: RNAcentral